CAGUUGCGAAUACAUCGUACAACCUGCAUAAUCAAUUUGCUCCCCAAGAAAAACGUUCUAACAAAAUAUUGAUAAAAUGAAGUUUAUUAUUUUCGUUAUUAUUACUAUGAUUACUAUGGUUGCUUCUGAAGAAUGUCGAGGUGAAUAUGACAUAUGCAUUCCUGGGAUUUUAGAUUGUUGUUCGCCAUUGAAGUGUCGCAAUGUUAGAAUUACUGACUACAUAAUUAUGAUGUGUAAGUAGAAUGCCGUAGCCAGGAAUUGCGGAU
This is a long non-coding RNA of Wasmannia auropunctata (little fire ant), 266 nucleotides long. RefSeq lists it as uncharacterized. The record is from RefSeq and is a predicted model, not a curated record. The transcript is spliced from 3 exons. Lineage: Eukaryota; Metazoa; Arthropoda; Insecta; Hymenoptera; Formicidae.